RNAcentral lists this non-coding RNA (125 nucleotides) under Streptomyces jeddahensis. Its description in RNAcentral is "Streptomyces RNA 3920". It matches the Rfam family "Streptomyces RNA 3920". From Rfam's summary of the family: Identified by deep sequencing of transcriptome at the end of exponential growth phase. Sequencing size consistent with northern blot size. Lineage: Bacteria; Bacillati; Actinomycetota; Actinomycetes; Kitasatosporales; Streptomycetaceae. The record is from Rfam by way of RNAcentral.
GAUAGGUCUCUGUCGCUACUGUGAUUGGACACUGACAGAGAGUCAACUAGCCUUGUUCCUGCGGUUCUUCGCGCGCAGAACCGGGACGGUCCGAGCCACGAGGGGGGAGGCUCGGACCGUCCGCC